RNAcentral lists this long non-coding RNA (708 nucleotides) under Homo sapiens (human). RNAcentral describes it as "non-protein coding SIRLNT:10". The record is from RNAcentral. Lineage: Eukaryota; Metazoa; Chordata; Mammalia; Primates; Hominidae.
UGAUCAACGGUUAUUACAGCUCUGGGGUUCCUUACAGUCAAAAGAUUUGUCUCUGUCAAGAUUUUUAGUAGAGGAAAAGGCAUUAUCUUCUAGAUAGGGUUAUAUAAAGCAGCUCUCCAGCAUUAAGAAACAUAGCUUUGCCAAUACUUCUGCUCAUUGCAAAGAAACAGGGUACACUUGGUCUUUCCUGAUGACGCUUUUAAGAGAAAGGCAGAGUUGACCCUGGGCUUUCAAAAAACUGUUCUUUCAGGCAAAACCUCAGAGAGAACUGGCUGCUAGUGAUCCUCUGCAGAGACCUUGAAGAGCACGGCAAUUAUGAAACUUCAACAAGAAAAGAUUUAAGCUGAUCUUUUAAAAAAAUAUAUACUGUCAGGAAUUUUGUAGAAAUGACUUUAAUGUAAUAACUGCUUCUUUGACUUAUGUUUUGUCUUGUGGUGAAAAGAAAAAUAUUUAUAAAAGCAUGCCUGUGUCCUAAAAUUGGGGACACAAACUUAAAUGACUGAAGGCACUUGAGGAGUGGAGGCAAGGAUGGUGAAACCAGGCCCUGUACCAAGCAGGAGAGCGUGAACCUGCUAAAGAGAGUGACUGCUUCUCAUUUCCAGUCAAUGCGACUGGUGUCGCAUUCCAGUCAAAUGGAGUUGCGACACCAUUUCAGCCACAGCGAUUGAUCUGGAUUUUCUGUAAAAUUCCCUGAUUUUUACAUAUUGC